UGUUAAAAAUUCUAUCUAUUUCUACUGUUAAAAACUAGCAUGGCUAAUAAAACAACCAAAUAAUAACAUGUUGUAUGUUACGUAUACCUCAUUCUGACGUAAAUGAAUUAGUUUUUAACAGUGAAAAUAGAUGAAUUUUUUAACA
Non-coding RNA from Gossypium hirsutum (cotton), 145 nucleotides. NCBI's taxonomy places the organism in Eukaryota, Viridiplantae, Streptophyta, Magnoliopsida, Malvales, Malvaceae. The record is from Rfam.